GAUGAAGAACGCAGCGAAAUGCGAUAAGUAAUGUGAAUUGCAGAAUUCCGUGAAUCAUCGAAUUUUUGAACGCACAUUGCGCCCCCUGGUAUUCCGGGGGGCAUGCCUGUCCGAGCGUCAUUGCAACCUUCAAGCGCGGCUUGUGUGUUGGGUCUCGUCCCCCGUGGACGGGCCCGAAAGGCAGUGGCGGCGUCCCGACAUGGUGCCCGAGCGUAUGGGAAUCCUCUUCCGCUCGAAUCGGCCCAUGCGGCGCUGGUCGUAACCAAAUUUUUUACCGGUUGACCUCGGAUCAGGUAGGGAUACCCGCUGAACUUAAGCAUAUCAAUAAGCGGAGGA
This 336-nucleotide unclassified non-coding RNA is filed under the name soil metagenome. Its description in RNAcentral is "partial contains 5.8S ribosomal RNA, internal transcribed spacer 2, and large subunit ribosomal RNA". The stretch from base 1 to 120 matches the Rfam family "5.8S ribosomal RNA", at positions 35 to 154 of the family's 154-position model. The record is from RNAcentral.